AUGAAGAACACCUGGGACUGGAACCUGGAAGAGGACAUAGUUGAUAUGAGAACAGUAGUAUACCAUAUAACUGGAAUUAACCGAUGCAAGUCGAAGAAGGAUUGGCCGGUGCUGCCGGCUGGCGUCAAGUUCGAUCCCACGGAUCAGGAGCUGAUCGAGCACCUAGAGGCCAAAGUGAGUGCUGACAGCACGAGAUCUCACCCUCUCAUCGAUUUGUUCAUACCAACCAUCGACAGCGAGCACGGCAUAUGCUACACCCAUCCUGAGAAACUUCCAGGUAUCACACUGAGUGGCCUAAGCAAGCAUUUCUUCCAGCACAAUUCCAGGGCAUUCAAAAGGGGCACAUGGACGCGUCGCAAGAUACAGUCGGAGUGCGGCAUGCACGCGAUGUGGCACAACACCGGCAAUACCUUGCCGGUGAUGGUCAACGGCCGGUAG
RNAcentral lists this ribosomal RNA (438 nucleotides) under Triticum aestivum (bread wheat). RNAcentral describes it as "partial small subunit ribosomal RNA". The record is from RNAcentral. Lineage: Eukaryota; Viridiplantae; Streptophyta; Magnoliopsida; Poales; Poaceae.